ACCCUUCCCCUCUUGACAUCUUGCUCUUCUUCCCUUCAUCUAUUGUGUUAGUCAGGUGCAUGCUGGUCUUCCCUCUAUCAAACUGUAAGCUACUUGGAGACUUGGGAUGCCUCACUCAUCUCUAUUCCCAAACCUCAGGGUCUAUCAUUCUACCUUCUGUAUAGACAGGACUUUCAUAGUUUUGAACAAGUCAGAACCUGAAAGAAUUUGCUUCCAGAACAGGACAUUGACAGGAAAAUUAAGCAUGAUCAUGCCGAGUAAAAUAGGAAUAAGAAUUGGACCUACCUCAAGAUCUGUUGAGAAGAUUAUGAGAGAGCUGAUGGAUCUAAAAGAUUGGCGCUUGAUAGAAUUGGGAUCAUUUGUUUUGACUAGAACAAUCUCUUGCAGCUUGGAUGGAGAAACUUUACAGAGGUUUCAGCCAAACACUCAUGAAUUCUUUAAUGUGUGAAAUAAACCAGGAGCUAAAAUAAUAUCUAAGUUUCCUCUUUGCCUGACGCCAUCCAUGCAAAAUGUGACUUGCUUCUUCAGCAGCAGCAUGAAAACAAACUAAUACACCACUAUUCCUAGUUUGUACAACGAAAGGCUAAAAAUUUGGGAGAUGCAGGAUGACUGAAGCCCGAUUCUGGGGGUUGUUACAGCACAGUUACAGGGCCUUCCUCACACCCAUGUCUUCAGAUACCCAAGGCCUUUAAUACCCAAGUCCUUCCAGGAUUCUGCACAUCUCAUUAGCUUCAUAUUCCCCUUUUCCUCUGAGCGUCUUACUAGAAGGUCUGGAAUACGCAUGGAUGAGAUGCCGUCUUUCCUGACCAUACUUAAUAAUAAAGAUGCUGGGACUCAAGAGGAACUAAGCAGUGUAUAUUUUUCAUGUAUCCGCUUGAUGCAAUGAAUCUUUUGGCUUCAGAGCUACAUGUUGAAGAUGAAGGAGCCAUAGUGUGGAAAAGCCAAAGUUCCUGAAUCACUGACCAGGGGAGAGUUGCCCAUUAGCCAAGAAGACCGGCUUUAGACUUUCUGAGAAAAGGGUUUGCUGUCAAAAGGAAAAGCUCUGAGUCAUUCUUUAGAAAAGGUGAAGAGAGGAUAUGCAACCACAAGCCAAAGGUCUGAAUAGCCCUUGUGAAGGCAGCAUUUGAGAGAACUUCUCUGCCACAUGCUGAUUCCUCUCACCGCGGGAAGAAACCAACCUACCCUGGGGAGCCUGAGAGCUCUUUGAGUAUCUGGGGGUGAAUCAACUAAUCUGAUUAAUUGUUUUCAGAGUUAAAAAGGCUUAGUCCUGGAAAAGUCGAAGAGGUGAAAACCUGCCUGGGGAGGCUGCUGAAGGACGCCAGGAAGAAUUCUUAUCUCCAAAUUCAAUCCUGCCUCCCAGCUAGCUGCUGGUGUUUGAAAUUCCAACUCUGAAGUGGUAGUCUGGUAUCUUCUUUUAAAAUGUGGAAGAGAGUAAACAAAGUUAUUCACA
Homo sapiens (human) is the source of this 1450-nucleotide long non-coding RNA. RefSeq annotates it as DLG2 antisense RNA 2. The transcript is spliced from 12 exons. The record is from RefSeq and is marked validated. NCBI's taxonomy places the organism in Eukaryota, Metazoa, Chordata, Mammalia, Primates, Hominidae.